Molecule: long non-coding RNA, 19230 nt
Filed under: Theobroma cacao (cacao)
Lineage: Eukaryota; Viridiplantae; Streptophyta; Magnoliopsida; Malvales; Malvaceae
Description: long non-coding RNA (TCAC_LNC000630)
Source: RNAcentral
AUGGCUUGGGUAAAUGAAAAAGGUUGGACAGCUAGCCUGUCUAAAACUAUCUUGUCUUCUCAUGAACAUUUUGCGCUAGUCUAAUUUCUCAAUUUCGUGGCAAUAGAAUGCUGCAGGGAUAACUAUGUUUUAUGAUGAUGAUAACAGUGUCAGUGCCUCAUCUUCUGAACCUUUACAAGACCAGCUUAUGCUGUUCAAUAUUUAAAUAUUUAGGGUGAAGAAUUGGUUAAAAAAAUAUAUCAAUCACUGAAAAAUCUGUUGAUUAAUCUCUAGUUCGGAGGCAUGAUCUAAUAUAGUAUGUUAAAAGGGUUUAAGGUUUAGGGUUUAAAAAUUUAAAGAUUAUAGCAUUGAUUUAAGUACUUUCAAUACCCUUCUCUUGAAUUUGCCAUUAUGGCUCCCCCCAUGCCCUUAUACAUUUCAAUUUUGCUUGGCUGCUCGACCAUUGUUGAUAAAAUUUGUAGCUCCUGGGGACGUUUAAUUUUAAAUGUCAAUUUUCAGUUUUAUAGAUAAUGGUCAUCAGUCAUGUGCUUUUGUUGGAAGUGCUGCUUUUUUAGGCUUCCCCGGCCAUUGAAUCCAACUGCUGGCACUACUAUCUGCAUUUCUUGUGUUAUAAAGUAUCUCCUCAUAGACUUUCUGGAUUUUAACUAGGUGGACAUGCGGAUAACAGUAUCAAGCUACUGUCAUCUGAUGGAGCAAAGACACUUGAAACGGCUUUUGGACACUGUGCUCCUGUCACUUGCCUUGCUCUAUCAUCAGAUAGCAACUAUCUUGUGACAGGAUCCCGGGACACUACUGUAUUACUAUGGAGGAUUCAUAGGGCAUUCACAUCCCGCUCAAGCAGCACAUCAGAACCAACUGCUGGCACUGGCACACCAACCUCAACUAGUAGUGGUACUUUAGCUAACAUCUUGGCAGACAAAAGCAGGAAGCGACGCAUAGAAGGUCCCAUACAUGUGCUUCGGGGUCACCACAGGGAAAUUCUUUGUUGCUGUGUCAGUUCAGAUCUAGGUAUUGUUGUUUCUUGUGGCCAUUCCUCAGAUGUUCUCUUGCAUUCUACAAGAAGGGGUCGUUUGAUGAGACAGUUUGUGGGUGUGGAAGCUGAUGCUGUCUGCCUUUCAUCUGAGGGAAUCGUUUUAACCUGGAACCAAUUUCAACAUACUCUUAGCACAUUCACUCUCAAUGGGGUUCUGAUUGCAAGAGCAGAACUUCCUUCCUUGGGUGGUGUCAGUUGCAUGGAAAUUUCUGUGGAUGGUGAGAGUGCUUUAAUUGGAAUGAACUCAUCUUUGGGCAACAAUGGAGUGUGCAAUAGCAACCAAGACUUGAGUUUUAAAAAACCUGUGAUUGAUAACUUGGAUCUUGAGUCAGAAGAAACCAACGAAAGCAACAGAUUGGAUAUUCCAUCACCCUCAAUUUGCUUUUUGAAUCUGCAUACUCUGAAGGUAUAAGAACCUUUUCACUGAUUUAUCUAUUAUAUGCAACAAGCAUGUUAGACACACGCAUCAUGAUUCACGAAUACUUUUUCAUUUUGCUCAAACAGUGACCUGGUGAAAAUCUUUCAUUUGCAGGUGUUUCAUGUGUUGAAACUGGGAGAAAGACAGGAUAUUACAGCUCUUGCUUUGAACAAGGAUAACACGAAUCUUCUAGUGUCGACUGCAGAUAAGCAGUUGAUAAUUUUCACGGAUCCAGCUGUAAGACUUUCUUUUUUCCAUAUCUUGGCUCUCCAUCAAUCAUUUAGUCUAAAUAUUAAUUAUUUAUCUAUUAGCAGAAAAUUUCUCCUAUCUUGGCAUUGCUUGAUUGAUAACAUCUUGUUGAUUUAUUUCUCAUAUGACCUAUUUAAUUUGCCAUAAAUUAAUCUUUGGGAAACAAGCAUUAUAUCAAGUGUUUUGUGGACUAAAUAAAGAAAAAGAAAACAUACUCCAGUGGGAUUACAAUUUGAGACUAGGCUAUUUUUCAAACUAGAAUGAUAACUUUAAAAAACAUUUAAGUUGAAGCAUAGAAUAGCCUUAUUUUUUCUUUCCUUUUAUCAUGUGUUAAUUACAUGCUACAACUAUUCCAUUUGUUUAAAUUUGAUCAAUUAUAAAAUAGUUUUGACUAAUUAUUUAGAUAAAUGUUAAAACAAGCCAAGCUUGGUCAAAACUUCAGAAUCCCUACUCCUUUAGACUUCCUUGUAUCAGAAAAAAAAAAUACUUAAAAACAAUCCAACUUAAGGAUAUCUGAAAUUUUCCGUGAACAAUAUGAAAAGCAAGCACUGAAAUAACCUGUCUCACAGUUGGCUGGUCCAGAUUAAAAAUAUGAAAAUGAGCCUCCUAAUGAGCGGCCUUAGAGUUGGCUGGUGGUUCUUCCUACCUGAUAGAAAUAUAUUUCCGCUUCAUUGGACAUUUGCUGCUAAGACUUCUACUUGGUGUGUGCUCCUUAUGCUGUGGGGUACCAUGAAUAAACUGAGUGAUACUUGUAGGAAAACUGUCUUAAGUUGAAUGAUUGUUAAACGGUACAACAUUUUAAAGUUAUGUUUUGUAUUCAAAAUUAUUGAUUAUUUGAAUUUAUGUUGUUUUACUUGGAUGUUGAACUUAAUCUUAUCUUGGCUUUGCUAUAUCCAGUUGAGUUUGAAAGUGGUGGAUCAGAUGCUUAAGCUUGGCUGGGAAGGUGAAGGGCUCAGCCCUCUUAUAAAGUCAUAGUGUUCGGCCAUUGAAUUUUGAUUGGUUUGAGAAUGACUAUAGAAGAUGCACCAUAGACUCCACGAGGGUCGAUGCUAUAAAGAGCCUGGCGUCUGCCUUGAGUAAGAGAAGAAUUCAAGUCAAUAACAUGACUAACGACGCCAGCUGCCUUCGUGUAUGUAAAAUAUGUAUGUAUUCACAAGUGGGAACAACCCUAUAUGUGAUUGACAGCGGGGUUGUUAGGCAGAUUCUUUUAUUUGAUUAGUGGUAAGUUUCUUACCAUUGAGAUUGAUGAACUAUACUCCGAGGCUUGAGAUCUUCAUUUUUGCUUUUGGAUAAAAUAGAGAAUGAAAAUAGGACAAGCUAUUUUGUUUCCUAUCUUUUGUGUAUGUAUAAUUGGACUGAGCACAUUAGCUCUUUCUUCCUCACUCCGUUGCCUCUCUUCUUUCACCUUUUUGCGUUUUUCCUCUUUUUGAAUAACCAUCCAGUCCAGUACUCCUCUCUCAAGGAAAGCACUACCAUUGGAGAUGCCAUGUAAGCAAAAUCACUUGCACAUUGCACUCUCUUAUGAUAGUAUAAUUACUUGUUUAGUUACAAUAUUGUUUUUAAAUUUCUUGUUAUUUUUAAUUAAUUAACUUUUUUAAGAAAUCAUUGCCUCCCGAUUUUAAUUCUACUAUAAAUGAUAUAUUCUUGAAUAAGAUCAUCUCUCACAGGAAAAAGCAUAAAUUAUAUUAUAAAUUUUUGAAUUUUUCGAAACGCCAAACUACUUUCCGGAAAAAACUUAUACUAAACAAAUAAUGCUCCGGCCCUAGAAAAAAAUGGGUUGGGUUUUUUAGGCGGUUUCGGGUUUAAUCAUUUUUUAAGGAAGGGGCUUUCCUUUCCUUGGUUGUCCUCAGUCUCUCCCUCGACGUAACCGCUUCGAGAACCAGUCUGCAAGGGAGAGAGAGAGAGAGAGAGAGAGACAGAAGAAUCACCAAGCCGCGGCGGCGACAAGUAGGGUACGGGUUGCAUCGUUUUUACAGAUUUUGGACGAGAUAAAAACAUGGGAGGCAAAGGAAGGAGGAGGAGAGAGAAGAACUACAGAGCUGCUCAUGGUGGUCCCGCCAGACUCCCGCCGCCUCCUGAUCCCUCCCAAGUCGAGGCUUUGCCUUCUAAACUCCGCAAAAUCAUGUCCUUCACCUCCGAUUCUCUUCACGGUUCUCUUCUCUCUCCUCUCUUUUUCUUUUCUUUUUUUUUUUAAAUUAAUUCGUUUGCUUUCCACCUAUUAACGGCUUUAUGUUCCAUGUUUUAGGGUCUGCGAAGGUUUCAAAGGACCAAAAAGCAGCGGAUGGAGAUGCUGUGAAAAAGGUGAGUAAUUAUCAUUAAAUGACUGAUUAUUUUCUUUUUUAAGCUUAAGUCGAUUGAUUUAAAUUCAAGUACUGUAAUUCAUUAUGCAGAAAGACCGAGCAGCGAAUCAAAUUAAGUUAGAAGCUAAUGAAAUCAAAGAUGGAAGUGAUGAUAAGCAUUUCACCAAAUCUCAAUAUUCAGAUAGCGAGGAAGAAACUAUGCAGAACAGCAAAGAUGGAAAGAAAACCAAGAAAAGAAAGAGGAAGCAAGUAACCGACCUUCGGUUUGAAACAAUGGUGGAUAAAUCAGGGGGCAGUUCCAAAAGAAAAGAGCGCAAGAAAAAGUAACUUUUCCUUCUCUUUUUUCUCUCUUAAUUGGCAAUUAAUUGGUUUGAAGAGUGAGUACCUCUGUUGAUUUUGCACCAUGGUAGUGGUAGACAAUGUGACUGAACAUAACCCUGUAGUGAAGUUUUAGUUUUUAUCCCACAUUAUAGAAUUAUCUGCUGAAUUGGGAAUAUGAAUUCUUCUGCUUUGCAGAUGCUGCAUUCCUUUUCCUUUUGUGUAUAGGUGACCAGGCUUUAAUCUAUGUAGGUAUUUUGAAGCAAAGAAGAAAAAGCAUAAGAAUGCCAAAACAGAAGAGAACUUGGACUUCCCUGGAAGAGAGAACAUAAGAUUUGGAGAUGUGGUUGAAGCUCCACCCAAGUUGGUUACAGUACCGAAGGUAAUCAUGAUCUUUUGAUGUUACAUUAAUAACGUUGUAGUAGUAUUUUUUUCGCUCAAGCAAGGAGUUUCUGCUUUACAGGGUUCAAAGACCUUGCAAGAUGCUUCCAAGGAGAGGCUAAGGUUACAGGCUAUUGAAGCCUACAGGAGUCGUAAAGGAUGGACCUCAAGACCGGGGGCAGCUCAACUACCUCCUGCGACUACAUGAUAUUCGUAGAAGACUAUUUGGACUUCAAGCGUAUUCAUCCAUUGACAUUGGCAAUUAGUUUCUGCUGGCAUGAACCGUACGGCGACCACUUUGUAUGAUUGUGAUUUAUCAUGCUGUUGAGUGCGAGCUCAAUUUUGUUGAAGAACAUUGGUGUCCUUGGUUUUGUUGAAUUCUGACAAUAGACAUCCCAUACCCAAUUCAUAGCAUACAUAUGACUUUUAUCUUUGUUUAAAUUGAAUUGAGAACAUCAGGAUUCAUUUCAUACUCAUAAGAUCUCAAGAUGAUCAAGUUUUGCAUGCAAGAACAUUUUUCAUCUUUCUCACACCGAGAAAUAAGAGGCAUGGAGCUAAAGACUCUGCGAGAAGGCAGGGAAGAACUGAGUUGUUGUUUGGUAAAGUUUUGCGUUAAGGUCAUAAGGACUUUCAUUUUAUUGGAAUAUUCUGCUAGAAAGGCAAGCAAGAUUCCGAACUUGCAAAUAUUCUGGUUUGGAUUAUUUUAAUCAACUUGCCAAAUGUUGUCUCAAGUCCCAACAACUUUGGUUACACUUAACACACAGAACUGGCCUGAACUCAUUUUUCAGACAAAAGUAUGGUUCUAGACUCUUUGGUCAGUGAAAGUAACCAUCCAUCAUAUCGAUUCCUUUCCUCCUUUUUGCUUGGUGACAUCAUCCUAUUUAUUCUUGUGCAAGGAAAGAUACAAGUAUAUUAACAGUGUGCAUUUGCCUAGUAUAAAGAACUGAGCCACCAGAUGAAACCCUUGGUCAAAUAAGCUAGAAAGACCAAAGUUAAGUCUGACAUCUGUGAAACGCGCGGACAUGAAGGCCCCCAUCUACAUGAAGAUUGAUCAUCGUCCUGUAGGUGACACAUUUAUUCUCAUCACUCAGUUUGAACACAAAGCAGUGCACCAGGACAGCCGAGAAGAUCUUCAUCUGCCUAUAAGCAAAUUCCUUGCCUAAACAUAUUCGAGGCCCUGCCUGUAAACCAUUAGAAAAUAAAGUUCAGUAUGUUAACACCUUUAGCCGAUAAAGUCACACUUGUGAAACAAUAUGAGAGGUUUGAACUUUCAGAAAAAGACUCAGAACCAGAAUCAAAUGCUGUUAUACUGCCUUUUUACCCUCUUUUUUUCUAUUUGAGGUUUUAUUUUACACCAAGUGCCAAUCAGAAUAAAAAUGCUUUGCCCGAUCUGCAAAAGAAGCAUACAACAAUUUCUAAUUUGCAACAUGUUCUGCAUACCUGGAAUGCUGUAAACUUAAAAGGGCUUUCUGAUUGGAACAUCCCAUCCUCAUCAAGCCAUCUCUCUGGUUUGAACUCCUCUGCAUCAUCACCCCAAAUGAAUUGCAUUCUGCCCAUUGCAUAAGGUUGAUAACAAACCAUAUCCCCUUUCCUCACACUGAACCCAUCUGGUAGAGUAUCAUCAGAGAAGCAUACCUUUGCAUCCUGCAAUCAAUGUGAAGAGAUAGUGAGAACCAAAGAACAAGGAAGCUAAUUUCUAACCUUCCAGAUACGCAUUAAAUGGAUAUCAGUUUAUAGAUGCAUGUUCUUGGAUGUACAUUAACAAGUUCAGUUGGAGGAUUCAAGAUUCAAGGCAACUUUGCUUACAACUGGAACAGCGGGGUAGAGCCUUAAUGUUUCAGUUAUGGCUGCAUGGAGAUAGUGCAUUUUUCCUAAAGCUUCUUCGCUCAAGAUAGCAGCAAAUUCAGCAUAAUCUUUAACAUCUUUCGUGUCAGUUGCUUCCUUCACUUCUUGUGCAACCUUUUCUUGAACAUCAGGAUGCUUGCAGAGCAUGUAAAUAAACCACGACAGAGUAGCUGCCGUUGUGUCUUUCCCAGCAAUUAUGAAGUUAAGGAUUAUAUCUCGCAAGUAUGUUGGAUCAGUGUCACUCACUUGUAGAAAUCUGGAUAAAAUGUCUUCCUUUUUCAUCUGCAUAAUCUGUAGAAAAUAAUAAUUUCAAUAUUCCACUUCAACAGGUAAUAUAAGUUGUUAACUAUAAGUAGCUCUACUGUUCUAGUUCACUCACUGAAGAUUCAUCCUUUGAGUUGCGCAUUUGCUCAAUCUUGUUGUGGAUCAGCUUAUACACAAAAUUAUCAACCACUUCUAUACUUUUCUUCAGUGUGGCCUCUGAUCCAAUAUUUAGAAAUCUUUUGAUCUUCCAGAAGAUAUCAACAUAUCGGAAGAGGAUUGCUGCACUUGAAUCAUCAAAAGCAGCUGUAAACUGUUUGCCUUCUAAAUUUGAUCCACACAUGCUGUCUAGUUCGACUCCAAAUGCAACUUUGAAUAUUGAAUCUAAAGUCGAUUUCAUAAACAAGUCCUGCACAAUAUAUCGUUAUAACAGAUUCAUUUUAUAUAUCACUCUGCCAUUGAUCUUGCCAUUAGGUGAACUUACCUGUAUAUCCAUUAUCUCAUUGGAAUUUGCUGCUUCAGACACUAUAGUCGCAAGUUUUGCCGCAUUUUCCCGAAAGACUACACUGCUGAAAUCUCUCAAGACCUUGGUUGAGAAUUCAUAGCUUGAUACUUUCCUCUGUUGACGCCACUUAUCACCAUCGACAGUGAAAAUCCCAUCGCCUAGUAAACCCUUUAGCAAGCUGUAAUUGUACUCACCCUGCACAAAAAAUUAAACAGAUUGGAAAACCAAAACAACUCCACCAUUCUGCCUUUUGGGUGGCCAUAUAAUUAUCAAAAGCCCUUUCAUUCCAACUAAUCACUCUGCGGCACAUUAGCAUCUUCAAUUGACUUACUUGUGGCGAGAUUGAGACCCUUUUCUUAAUCUAAUUAUGGGUGUUUCUGUCUAGGCUACUUAUACUAACCAAUCACCGGGAGAGUUCAGAAUUUUCUAGACCAACAAAUUAUUUGUGACUUUGAGGUGUGAAACGAGAGUCGGCACCAUACCUUGCCAUAAUUCUGGAAAUUUGUUUUGAGAAUAUACUCAACAUUGUCGGGUUCCGAGGUAUAAAUCUCAUUCCUGAAAGGGCUAAGCAGCCUGUAGGUCCUGUACUUCCCUGCAAGAUCAGUCAUAUAGUGAUGCAAUCUUCUGAAGUUGAGGAGCUGGUUAAAAACCGUUCCGCCAACAGGAUGGUACUUGGCCUUAUUUUUCCUCUGCCUUUCUCUUAGUUUUGCUGUGAGGAACUUGACAGUGAAAAGGGCAAGGAUUAGACUUAGAACCAAAGCUACCAAGGGAACUGGGUUAGACAGAUCCAUGGACAUGGAGGUACGUUUGGGUAAGCUGGUCUAUCAAUGUUAGGUGAAGGCUGUAUUAAACUAGAGAAGUCGGUUUUGUAAUACUAAUAAUAUCAACGGAGAGAAGUCCUUCUGCUAAGUCAUUCCUCUCAACCAAACGUGUCAUAACCUAAUUGGACGACAUUCGGACAAGCCCUAAACGUGGUUCUCUCGAAUUUCACAAGGUGAUCUUUUUGAAAAUUGGUAAAAAAUUACUAAUAAACUUCACCACAGCCAAGUAACAAAACAAAGGGCCAUACUUGUUAUUUCCUUAGUUAUGAUGAUAAAGAACAUACAAAUCUCUUCUAAUUGGUUAUUCUAUAGUUAAGUAAAGAGAAUGAUUUUUGAAUUUAAUUCUUAAAUAAGAAAAUACGUGUAUUUAUCAUGUUAAAUUUAAUACUCAAAUGAAAAAUUAAUUAGAAUUUUAUUUCGGAGCAUAUGAUACAAUCAAGUAACUUAAGUACAAAGAUGAUUAAGCUUGGCAAACAAGGAUAUGUCAUGUUUCUCAAUCCGAGAGAUAAGAAGCACAGAGCCAAAGGCCCUGCAAAAAGGCAGGGGAGAACUGAAUUGUUGUUUCCUAAAACUUUGCAUUAAGAUCAACAUGACUUUCUAGUCAUUAAAUAUUCUGCUAGAUUUCGAACUUGCAAAUAUGGUCUGUUUUAAUGAAAUUGCAGAAUGUUGUCUCACGUCUCAAGAACUUUGAUUUCACUUCUUUUUCAAGGAAAAAAAAAUGGUUUCACUUAGUUUGCAGAAGUGUCCUGAACUCAAUUUUCAGACAAAAGUAUGGUUCAAGACUCCUUGGUGAGUGAAAGUAAUUCUUCAUCAUAUUUAUUCCUUUAUUUUUCUUUUUGGAUAUCAUUGUAUUUAUUCUUGUGCAAGGACAAGUACAUGCAUACUCAAACCUUGCAAUUGCCCAGCAUACAGAACUGAGCCAACAGAUGAAACCCGUGGUCAAAUAGGCAAGAAAGACUAAGUCUGACAUCUGGGAAAUGCGCGGACAUGAAGGCCCCCAUCUACAUGAAGAGUGAUCAUCGUCCUGUAGGUGACAGAUUUAUUCUCAUCACUCAGUUUGAACACAAAGUAGUGCACAAGAACAGCCGAGAAGAUCUUCAUCUGCCUAUAAGCAAAUUCCUUGCCUAAACAAAUUCGAGGCCCUGCCUGUAAACCAUUAGAAAAUAAAGUUCAGUAUGUUCACAUCUUUAGCCGGUGAAAUCACACUUGUGAAACAAUAUGAGAAGUUUGAACUUUCGGAAAAAGACCCAGAACCAGAAAUCAAAUGCCGUUAUACUGAUUUUUUACCCUUUUUUCCUAUUUGAGGUUUUAUUUUACACCAAGUGCCAAUCAGAAUAAUAAUGCUUUGGCCGAUCUGGAAACGAAGCGUACAAGAAUUUCUAAUUUGUAGUAUGUUCUGCACACCUGGAAUGCUGUAAACUUAAAAGGGCUUUCUGGUUGGAACAUCCCAUCCUCAUCAAGCCAUCUCUCUGGUCUGAACUCCUCUGCAUCAUCACCCCAUAUGAAUUUCAUUCUGCCCAUUGCAUAAGGUUGAUAACAAACCAUAUCUCCUUUCCUCACACUGAACCCAUCUGGAAGAGUAUCAUCAGAAAAGCAUAUCUUUGGAUCCUGCAAUCAAAGUGAAGAGGUAGUGAGAACCAAAGAAAACCCCAGAACAUAGAAAGGAAGCUAAUUUCUAGCCUUCCCGAUACGCCUUGAAUGGAUAUCAGUUUAUAGAUGCAUGUUCUUUGAUGUGCAUUAACAAGUUCAGUUGGAGGAUUCAAGAUUCAAGGCAACUUUGCUUACAACUGGAACAGCGGGGUAGAGCCUUAAUGUUUCAGUUAAGGCUGCAUGGAGAUAGUGCAUUUUUCCUAGAGCUUCUUCGCUCAAGAUAGCAGCAAAUUCAGCAAAAUCUUUAACCUCCAUCGUGUCAGUUGCUUCCUUCACUUCUUGUGCAACCUUUUCUUGAACAUCAGGAUGCUUGCAGAGCAUGUAAAUAAACCACGACAGAGUAGCUGCUGUUGUGUCUUUCCCAGCAAUUAUGAAGUUAAGGAUUAUAUCUCGCACGUAUGUUGGGUCAGUGUCAUUCAAUUGCAGAAAUCUGGAUAAAAUGUCUUCCUUUUUCAUCUGCACAAUCCGUAGAAUACAAUUAUUUCAAAAUUCUACAUAGAAACCGUUAAUUAUAAGUAGCUCUAUUCUUCUAGUUCACUCACAGAAGAAUCGUUCGAGUUACGCAUCUGCUCAAUCUUGUUGUGGAUCAGCUUAUACACAAAAUUAUCAACCACUUUUGUACUUUUCUUUAGUUUUGCUUCUGAUCCAAUAUUUAAAAAUCUCUUGAUCUUCCAGAAGAUAUCAACAUAUCGGAAGAGGAUUGCUGCGCUUGAAUCAUCAAAAGCAGCUGUAAACUCUUUGCCUUCUAAAUUUGAUCCACACACGCUGUCUAGUUCAACUCCAAAUCCAACUUUGAAUAUCGAAUCUAAAGUCGAUUUCAUAAACAAGUCCUGCACAACAUUUCGCUAUAACAGGUUCAUAUUAUAUAUCACUCCGUCAUGGAUCUUGCCAUUAGGUGAACUUACCUGAAUAUCCAUUAUCUUGUUGGACUUCGCUGCGUCAGACACUAUAUUUGCAAGCUUUGCUGCAUUUUUCCGAAAGACUACAGUGCUGAAAUCCCUCAACACCUUCGUUGAGAAUUCAUAGCUUGACACUUUCCUCUGUUGACGCCACUUAUCACCAUCGACUGCGAAAAUCCCAUCACCUAGUAAACCCUUUAGCAAGCUGUAAUUGUACUCACCCUGCACAGAAAAUUAGACAAAUUGAAAAACCAAAACGACCCCACCAUUCUGCCGUAGCCAUAUAAUUAUCAAAAACUCUUUCGUUAUAGCAAAUAACCCUGCAGCACAUUAGCAUUUGUAGUUGACUUAAUUGUGACUAUAGAUUGAGACACUCUUUCAUAUUCUAAUUCUGGGUGUUACUGUCUAAGCUACUUCUUCCAACCAAUGACAGGGGGAGUUCAAAAUUUUCUAGACCAACAAAUUACCUUGCCAUAAUUCUGGAAAUUUGUUUUGAGAAUAUAUUCAACGUUGUCUGGUUCCGAGGUAUAAACCUCACUCCUGAAAGGGCUAAGCAGCCUGUAGUUCCUGUACUUCCCAGCAAGAUCAGUCAUAUAGUGAUGCACUCUUUUGAAGUUGAGGAGCUGGUUAAAAAGUGUUCCGCCAACAGGAUGGUACUUGGUCUUGUUUUUUUUCUGCUUUUCUCUUAGUUUUGCUGCGAGGAACUUGACAGUGAAAAGGAUCAGGAUUAGAUUUAGAAACAAAGCGACCAAUGUAGCUGGGUUAGACAGAUCCAUGGAGAUGGAGGUCCUUUUUGGGUAAGCUGGUCGAUCAAUGUUAGCGGGUGAAGACUGAAGAAAACUAGAGGUCUUUUUAUAAUACUAAUAAUAUCAACGGGGAGAAAUCCUUUUGCUAAGUCAUUUCUCUUAACCAGACGUGUGACUAUAUUCGGACAAUCCGCAAACGUGUUUCUCUUAAAUUUUACGUGCACAUUGCUGAGAGUCCAACCAUGAGAGAGAUAUGCACCGACUUUCCUUCGUUGUCUCCUUUUUCGUUUUUAAAUUGUUAUAAGUUAUUAACUAAUUUCACCACAACCAAUUAACAAAACAAAGGGCAGGACUAGGUUUUUUUUUACUCAGUCAAUAUAACUAUUUAGAGAAAAUUGUGAAAAAUAACUCAUAAGGUGAUUUCAAAAAUAAUUAUCCAUAUAAUGUUAUCUGUUUUUACCAAAAAACAAACAUGAGUAAACCAAAAUGCUCUCAGAAACAUCCUGGCAAAUCAAUCUCCUAAUAUCUCUCUCGCUGUAAAGAAAAUAAAUACUCAGUUAUUUCAGCUCGCUCAACUCUUUCAGCUCUCUAAAUUAUAUCAGCUUUGUCAACUCUCUGUUAAGUACCAUCGUCAUCAACUCUCUUAGCUAUUUGAACUGUAUCAUCUAUAUGUACUUAUUAAAGAUAUAAAUUAAAGAAUAUAAAAGAAAACGAAGUAAAUGAAUAAUUGAAAAGACAAGUCGAGCCACUAAUUACUACAAUGAUCACUGUCUGAUCACGACAGCUAAAGCCACUGCAAUUGCUCGGCCAAUAAAGUUGACAAACUUUGUUGAAAUAGGACUUGCAUUGAAAAUCACGUCAGUUCAUACUAUCUUAGGAUCAUAUGUGACCAUUUUGUAUAAGCUAGCUUUCUUUCAAAUUAUGAUAACUAUGCAUUUAAUGAAUGAUUUAUAUGAUGAUUAGUAUGCAUUCUUAGGCCUAGCUACUGUUCAAAACUUAGUUGUUAAGUUUUGUUAUGUAUAUAAACUAAGUCAAUGCAUAUCAGAAAUAUGAAACCUACUGUUACAACAAAAACUGUCUUUACUUGCUCUGUUUCAUACUUAUCCUACAUCAACUAAAACACAACAAAACUUACUAAAUAAAGCAAUCUAUAUACCAACAAUGUCUUGGAAUUUAGCAAGUUUUAGUUUGUCCUCUUGGAAUGACAUAGAGGUCGAGGCCAUGCUGGAGGGUGAAGCCACAACAUGGUCCUAUCGUCUGCCAAGUUGAAGCGAAAGUAGUGAAUAAGGGAACUUUGUUGAGAUUUUCUUUAUCUGCUCAGAAGAAAUUAAGAAAAAAUUAUAUGGUGUAGAUACUUGAUUUUGAUUUUGAUUGUUAACAUAUUUCUUCAAUAUAAAGUAAAAUUAAUUUAUAAAACGUUGUAUUACUAUGUAAGAAGUAGUGUAGAUAAUUUAUAAUAAGUAGAAAAAUCACGUCAUUGUAUAAACUAGUGAAAAUAUCUUCGAAAUAAAUGAUGAGAUUUUUAAAUUAAUUUUUUUAAAAUGUUUUGAAGAGUUUGAUUUGAUAACUUAAAUACAUAAAUGAAAAUUUUCUAAAUACGUAUGCAUAAAAUCCACUAUCACCAUCAAUGACCUAAACAUUCAUAAGGCUUUAAUGCCUCAACAGUUGACAUUUUCUCAUUGGUAUGAAUAAAUUUCAUUAAUUACAAGAUUACUCAAUUCCAUAACCCUUCAAGAUAUUUUCUCAUUGAUUGUGUUCGAUUUGAUAAGGAUGUUAAUUUUUUUUUUUGAAUUACAAAUAUUUUUCAUUUUUUUAAAUAAUUAAGUGACGCACUUCUAAUGCCUCAGUAGCUGACAUUAAUUAUCCAUUGGUUGCAUUCACUUUGAUUCGGAGCUAAUUAACAACCGAAAAGUUGGCCGAUGUUUGCCGACUUGGAUUUAAUGGUCAUAUGAGUUGGUGUAACAAUGUGAUACCAAAAAGGUAGUAAUCAAUACAAAUUUUGAGUAGGAAGAGUACUGCAUUCAAAUGAAAUCAAGAAGAAGAUUGUGGAGAAAACUCUCAUUUAAUGGAAGAACAUGACUGCCAAAUACGAGUACCUAAACAUGGUUUGGCAAUUGCCAUCAUCCUAUGCAUCCCUAGGUUACUUAACUGAUUGAUGUAAUUCAUUGAAUAAAAUGGUUAGUUGUUAUUAUCAUGUCAUGUCAUCGUCAUGAUAUUUCUUCCUCUUUUGUGAGUAAUGAGAUUUUUGAAGGAUGGAGAUGACUCUACCUAAAUUCUUAGAUUUUUUUGUUGCUUAUUUUCAUUGUAUUUUGAGUUUUUGACUGUGUCUAACUGUUUAUCUUUUGCAAAGCCAUUUUUUCACCUUAAUUUCAACCCAGCAUCUGUGUGUUGUCCGAUGGGUUAGAAAAUGGGCAAGUUUGAUUGGUGGUUGAUUCCUUUUCUUCAGCAUUUUGGUAACUUGGGCCUAUAAAAUUUAUUUAUAGUAGACAAAAAAAAACUUUUAUUAAAAAAUAUUAUAGUAAAUAUUUGUUUCUUUUCGGAUAAUUGACUUUUAUUUAGCUAAGGAAUAUUUUAUUUGAAAUAUGUCCCAUAUAUACCACUGAAAAUCCAAGGCUUUUUAUGGUUAUUCAUUCUUAAUGGCAUUUCUACUAAAUGCUUUCUAAGAAUCAGAACGCAUGGUGUAUGUCCUACAAUACAAAUGGUGAUAACCUUUGUUUUUGGUGUUACAGCCAUGGAGGAAAAGAGUGAUGAUAUUUUAUUUUCUUGUCACUUCAUACGGUCCAUGGAGGAAAUGUGGAUAGAUCGAAGAUAAGUAAAUCAAGAUUCACAGACUGUGAAAGCGUAUUAAAAGAUGAGAACUUUUUGACUUGGAUUUUUUUUAAUAAAAGUUCUUUGCUUGGAUUUUUUUUUAGUAAAAAUUCUUUGCUUGGAUUUAAGAGAUGAGAUUCAAAGAACUUUUAAGAGAUGCAGCAAACAACCUCAAAAUCCAAGCUCUUUGCUUGUAAGCUUCCUAGCCACUUGUAAACAGAAAAUACGGCUUCUAUGGAGUCCCAAUCUCGGGAAAUGGUCAGGGCAUAUAGACCAGAUGACUCGAAUUGUACAUAUAUUUUUUUCUUUUUUGGUGAAAUAACUCAAAUUCCAUUGAUCAACACAUUUACAGAAAAAAGCAAAUCAACACUAUAGAAAAAUGCAAAUCGGGGCUCUUAUGUACAACCAGCAAGGUUGAAGACUUGAAGUUGAACAAAUUGAUGACUUUGCACAGGAGGAUAUUUGGAAAUUCAUCAACUUGUCCUUGGAACAGCAUAAAGAUGGAGGCCCCCCUUCAUAUGAAGUGUGAACAUUGUCCUGUAAGUUGCAAUUUUCGUAUAAUCAACUAAUUUAAAGCGGAAGAAGCGAAGAAGGGCAAUUGAGACUAUCUUCAUCUACCGGUGAGCAAAAUCCUUGCCUAAGCAAGUUCGAGGACCCGCCUGAAACAUAAUGCAGCAGCUGGAAAAGAUUAAGAUCGUUUGACAACUAUAUAGGCACAUGCAUGUUAUACACAUGGUAGAAAUGGAACAAAGAAUACUAACAUGAAAUGCUAUGAAUUUGAAAGGGGAUUCGGACUGGAAAACUCCAUUGUUAAGCCAUCUUUCUGGUCGAAAAGUGUCGGCAUCUUCUCCCCAAAUGUCAGGCAUUCUACGCAUGGCGUAGGCCAUGUAAUACACCCCGUCUCCUUUCUUGAGUUUGUAGCCAUCGGGGAGAAUGUCAUCCUGCUCUGCAUUCCUUCCAUCCUUGAAGCACAAAGUGAGAACCAUAUCAUAUUCCAGCUGUCGAAAUGCUAAGACUGCAAGAAAAUCUAUGAGUGUCUCAGGCACCUUACAAUGGCGACAGCAGGGUACAGCCUUAAGGUCUCUGUUAUGGCUGCAUGAAGAUAGUGCAUUUGCUCUAGGGUUGAAUCAGUUAUGGUUGUCACGAAAUCAUCAACAUUAUUAGCACCAUUUCUUUUACUACUAGUGACGUCCACCACUUCUUGUGCAAGUUUUUCUUGUAUCAAAGGGUUCUUGCAGAGCAUGUAGAAGAACCAGGACAGAGUAUUCGCAGAAGAAUCUUUGCCAGCGAGUACGAAGUUCAGGAUUAUAUCCCUUAAAUAUUUGUCAUUCAUUGUGUCUGGAUUCUUCUCGCUUUCCACUAAAAAUCUUGAAAGUAUGUCUUCUUUCACAUUCUUGAAGCCAUAAAAAGAAAUAAGAAAAAACAAACCAAUUAUUAGUAAAGUAUAAAUUUCCACGCCAAAAACCAGAUUACCUUAAGCAGUGAGAUUGAAUUCAACAGUGUUCUUGUGACUCUCAAGUCCCACCAUAUUUGUUAGACCAAGAUUGACUAUAAGAAAUUCUUGCAGCAAAAUAUAUAUGGCUCACCAAAUCUCGUUCCAUGCCCAGCAGUUUCCUCUUGGAGCUAAUGACAUCGUGAACAAAGUAUCAACGACUUUGAUAUUCUUUCUGAGGGCAGCUUCAGAGCCAAUGUUAAGAGACCGUUUCAGCUUCCAGAAAGGGUCAACAAAGCGCCUCUCAUUUGAAUCAUCAAAAGCCUUCAUAAAAGUAGUCCCUUCCUUACUUGACCCAUCCAUGCAGUUUAAAUCUAUGCCAAACCCAACUUUGAAUAUGGAAUCUAGAGUGCAUGUCAUUAAUAGAUUCUACAAAUUAAAGUAAACACAGCAUGAAAAACUGAAAAAGGGAAAAUUAGACAAGCAUAAUUGUGAGCAUCUUUAAAGUUUUGGGUUAAUUUGAGGGUCAGAUUUCUCACUUGCAUGUCAAAAGCUUGACCCGACACUUCCAGCUUCGAAAUAACUCCAACCAGUUUGGCAGCGUUCCUUCUGAAAACAGAGCAGCUAAAAUAUUUAAGAACUCUCGUCGAGAACUCGAAGCUUGCCAGCUUCCGCUGCUUCCGCCACUUGUCUCCGUCCACCGCAAAGAUCCCUUGUCCAAAAAGAUCUAUCAGAAUUUCUUGGUUUUGUUUACCCUUACAGUAUCUGUCGAACUUUGUUUUCAAUAUGUACUCUACAUUUCGCGUAUCGACGGUGUAUACUACGCUUAGCCCUAAAGCGAGUUGCCUGUAAGUGGGCUGUUUUUUGGCCGCUUGGGUUUGGUAGUCGUAGAGAUAGUUGAAAUAAAACAACUGGUUGAAAACGCUGCCCUUCACCGGUGGGUUGUCAGGAUUUCCGAUGGAUUUUCCGGUGAAGAUUUUGAUUGUGAGAAAAGAGAAGAUCAGGAAGAGAAUGAGUGGUGGUAAUGACAUCAACAAGAAGAUGGUAGAGAGAAUAUCCAUUUUUCCUUUUUCUAAUGAAUACUCGGAAAGGUUAUAGGCCAUAUAUGCAGAUUCUUGCAUUGGGUUGCAUUCAUUUUUCAACCUACCAACAAAAUCAAACCGUUUUCAUCACCAAUAUCUUUCUCAACAACAAAAUCAUUUGUUUAAUAAUUAUAAUGUUUACACGUGUACGAUUGCCAUUUCAUCAAUUUGAUUUUUCUUGUAAAUUAAGUUGAUGCCACCAUAUCUCAUACUUCAAAAAUUUUAGAGGAUUGUACGGAUAAUCAUAAAUUUAUAAUCAUAAUUAUAAUCUAUUUAACUUCUAAAGUGAAUUAACAUAUAUAACUUUAAUCAAGUAAGCAUGAAAAAAGUGUAUCAUUUAAGUUUGGGUCUUGUUUACGAAUAUUCUAAGAGUUUUUUUAUCGUUAAUUAAAAUAUUAUAAUAAUAUUUUUCUUUUAAAUGUCGUAAUUGACUGGUAGUGCGAUGAUUUUCAAUAUAUCUAAAAUGAUAUUACUCAAUAUAAUAACUUUAAAUAAUAUCAUUAUAACAAUAGUUAGUAAAAGUCAUAAUAUUCAAAAAAGCUUUUAAAUUAUUCAAAAAAUUUAAAAUAAAUCUUACUUUUAUUAUAUUCAAUUAUAUUUUUAUAUUUUUAUUUUAGAUCAAAUAAAUCUUUUAUUUUUAUUUUGAAUCAAAUAAAUCUUUAUAAAUAAUAAUUGACUUAGUUAAAAUGUUAUUUGUCAUUAUAUAUUACGUGACGCUGAUGUAGUAUACUAACAUAUCAUAAUUAAUGAUGAUGUGAUAUGUUGAUUUAUCAUAUUUGAUAAUGAUAUGACAUGCUAGUUUAACCUAAUAACAUGAUGACAUUUUUCAAUCUCUACAUUAAUAUCAUAUUAGUGCCACGUGGAUAUAAAAUGAUAAAAUAUAUUUUGACUAAUGAAAAUUAGUCAAUUAUUAUUAAUAAAAGCUUAUUUGAUCUAAAAUAAAAAUAUAGAGACUUGAUUAAGCGUAACAAAAGAAUAAAAAUUUAUUCGAAUUUUGUUAAAUAGUUUCAGAGCUUAUUUGAGAAAUAUGUGUUAGUAAAACCAUUUAUAUUUAAAUUUUUAUUUUAUUUUUUGAAAAGUAAUUUGUCAUAAACGGAAUAAUGACAUGGCUAUAGAUUAAGCUAGGCUAUAAACUUAUUUCAGCCUUAAAUGAUUAACAAUGAAUAAGGUGCGUCCCCUCUCAAGAAACCCCUAUACAAUAGUUAGGAUAAACCCUUAAAGGAUGGACCUCAGGACCGGGGGCAGCUCAAGUACCUCUUGUGACGACAUGAUAUUCAUUGAAGACUAUUUGGACUUCAAGCGUGUUCAUCCAUUGACAUUGGCAAUUAGUUUCUGCUGGCAUGAACCGUAUGGCGACCACUUGUAUGAUUGUGAUAUAUCAUGCUGUUGAGUGCGAGCUCAACUUUGUUGAAGUACAUUGGUGUCCUUGGUUUUGUUGAAUUCUGACAAUAGACAUCCCAUACCCAAUUCAUAGCAUACAUAUGGCUUUUAUCUUUGUUUAAAUUGAAUUAAGAACAUCCGGAUUCAUUUCAUACUCAUAAGAUCUUAAGAUGAUCAAGAUUUGCACUUAACGGAAGCAAAACUGGCCUGAACUCAAUAUUCAGACAAAAGUAUGGUUCUAGACUCUUUGGUCAGUGAAAGCAACCAUCCAUCAUAUCGAUUCCUUUCGUCCUUUUUGCUUGGUGACAUCAUCCGAUUUACUCAUGUGCAAGGAAAGAUACAAGUAUAUUAACAGUGUGCAUUUGCCUAGUAUAAAGAACUGAGCCACCAGAUGAAACCCUUGGUCAAAUAAGCUAGAAAGACCAAAGUUAAGUCUGACAUCUGUGAAGUGCGCGGACAUGAAGGCCCCCAUCUACAUGAAGAUUGAUCAUCGUCCUGUAGGUGACACAUUUAUUCUCAUCACUCAGUUUGAACGCAAAGCAGUGCACCAGAACAGCUGAGAAGAUCUUCAUCUGCCUAUAAGCAAAUUCCUUGCCUAAACAAAUUCGAGGCCCUGCCUGUAAACCAUUAGAAAAUAAAGUUCAGUAUCUUCACAUCUUUAGCCGGUAAAAUCACACUUGUGAAACAAUAUGAGAGGUUUGAACUUUCAGAAAAAGACUCAGAACCAGAAUCAAAUGCUGUUAUGCUGCUUUUUUACCAUUUUUUUUCUAUUUGAGGUCUUUUUUUACACCAAGUGCCAAUCAGAAUAAAAAUGCUUUGCCCGAUCUGCAAAAGAAGCAUACAACAAUUUCUAAUUUGCAACAUGUUCUGCAUACCUGGAAUGCUGUAAACUUAAAAGGGCUUUCUGGUUGGAACAUCCCCUCCUCAUCAAGGCAUCUCUCUGGUCUGAACUCCUCUGCAUCAUCACCCCAAAUGAAUUUCAUUCUGCCCAUUGCAUAAGGUUCAUAACAAACCAUAUCUCCUUUCCUCACACUGAACCCAUCUGGAAGAGUUUCAUCAGACAAGCAUAUCUUUGCAUCCUGCAAUCAAAGUGAAGAGGUAG